Molecule: ribosomal RNA, 651 nt
Filed under: Triticum aestivum (bread wheat)
Lineage: Eukaryota; Viridiplantae; Streptophyta; Magnoliopsida; Poales; Poaceae
Description: partial small subunit ribosomal RNA
Source: RNAcentral
AUGGACCUCACGCAUAGUCAGGAACACCCGAAACGGGGUGGUUUUUGUGCGCCAUUUUUAUUCAAAAUUCAAAAGGAUCAAGUAGAGAGAGUAAAUGCAGACGAAGGCCUGGGGCAAGACAGACGCAGUAUAAGAUACAGCUGGGGUGCCUGCUCGGCUACAUUGCUUCAGUUUCCCUCCUUUGCCACAGGUUCAAAUUUUUUUGAAAGUCCAGACUGCUUCACAAUGGCGAUGUCUUGGGAGCAAUCAACGGCGAGCGGCACAACCUGCUGCUCUGAUCGGCGUGAGAAAAUCAUCGUGAAAGAAUAUCAGACAACUUCAGCAAGCCUGGAUUCAGCGGCGAGCGCAUGGAGUACAACGGUGCUACCGGCGAGAAGACACGCUUGUUCGGGACAGGGUGAGGUGAUCCAGCAAGCUGACUGCCGUCGUGGAGACCUGAAGCAAGAAGUGGCGGAUCAGACAAAUGAAGUUGAUGAGGAGGAAGGGUUCGGUGAGUACGAUCCAGAUGAAUCCGCGCAUCCGGCAGGAAUCUCUAGUGAGAGCGGCUUGGAAAACAGAGCUGACGAACCCGAGGCGCGCGCAGCUGGAUUGGGUGGUGAUGAAGAUGAAGUGACAAGCUUGCCAGCUAAACGUCGACGCUUAGAGGACUAG